RNAcentral lists this ribosomal RNA (594 nucleotides) under uncultured archaeon. RNAcentral's name for it is "bacterial SSU rRNA". It matches the Rfam family "Bacterial small subunit ribosomal RNA", at positions 389 to 977 of the family's 1533-position model. The record is from RNAcentral.
GGACGACGCCGCGUGGAGGAUGAAGGUCUUCGGAUUGUAAACUCCUGUCAUGAGGGAGUAAGACACAGCGUUAACUGCGUAUGUGUUUGAUAGUACCUCAGGAGGAAGAGACGGCUAACUCUGUGCCAGCAGCCGCGGUAAUACAGAGGUCUCAAGCGUUGUUCGGAUUCAUUGGGCGUAAAGGGUGCGUAGGUGGCAAGGCAAGUCAGAUGUGAAAUCCCCGGGCUCAACCUGGGAACUGCAUUUGAUACUGCCGUGCUCGAGUGCUGGAGGGGAGACUGGAAUUCACGGUGUAGCAGUGAAAUGCGUAGAUAUCGUGAGGAAGACCGGUGGCGAAGGCGAGUCUCUGGACAGCAACUGACACUGAGGCACGAAGGCUAGGGGAGCAAACGGGAUUAGAUACCCCGGUAGUCCUAGCAGUAAACGGUGCGCGUUUGGUAUGGGGGGAUCGACCCCUUCCGUGCCGGAGCUAACGCGCUAAACGCGCCGCCUGGGGAGUACGGUCGCAAGAUUAAAACUCAAAGAAAUUGACGGGGGCCCGCACAAGCGGUGGAGUAUGUGGCUUAAUUCGAUGCAACGCGAAGAACUUACUUA